This 665-nucleotide long non-coding RNA is filed under the name Ananas comosus (pineapple). RNAcentral describes it as "long non-coding RNA (ACOM_LNC027133)". The record is from RNAcentral. Lineage: Eukaryota; Viridiplantae; Streptophyta; Magnoliopsida; Poales; Bromeliaceae.
AUAUCACAUUGCGUAUAUGAUAACAGGUCAGUGCGCUAUUACGGAGAAAUAUAUCGUUACAUAUUUUCAGCUCAAAUUUAUUUUGCUUAAUAAUAUUAGAUGAUGGAUGAAAGUGGAUUUUAGUUGUAAAUGCUUAUCAUCGCUGUUUGUUUCUAUAACUUUACUUUCAGUCGGAACUCAGCCUCUUCAAAAUAACAUAAUUAAUUUCUACCUAUCCCAAGAUGCAAUCAAUUACAAAAAAAAAAAAAACGUAAAAAUUAAUUAAAUAUUAUUCAAACUCUUAGACCUCCAAUUUUUUCACCAUUUAUUUAUUGCCAAACAAAAAGCAGAACUUGAAAAUUUUAAUUUCAUAGCUAAGACUCUAGCUCAGUGGAAAGCCUACAGAUAGUUCUAUAAACCUCAUCUGUCCAUGUGGAGCACUCGCGUGUUCGUCCGACUAGUGUACGACACGAAUGCUCCCAUGUCUGAGAUGAUAAAUACUUAGCGUUCUGAUGAAUACAUACGUAUUCUUUUGAAUCUUCAAAUAUAUUAACUAUCAAUGAAAAUUUUAUUCAUUUUAAUUCGUACAAGAGAUACAAUAAUACUUUAACAAAAUUAAUAUUUUAUAUUAAUAUUAUAUUUUAUUAAUAAUGUUCAUACCAUAUGAUGCGUCUCCGUCGAAACCC